RNAcentral lists this ribosomal RNA (159 nucleotides) under uncultured bacterium. RNAcentral describes it as "partial 16S ribosomal RNA". It matches the Rfam family "Bacterial small subunit ribosomal RNA", at positions 355 to 509 of the family's 1533-position model. The record is from RNAcentral.
UGAGGAAUAUUGGUCAAUGGGCGGAAGCCUGAACCAGCCAAGUCGCGUGAGGGAAGAAGGCCCUGCGGGUCGCAGACCUCUUUGGACGGGGAGCAAGGCCGCCGACGUGUCGGCGGAAGGAGAGUACCCGUAGAACAAGCAUCGGCUAACUCCGUCGCC